UAAAACCAGCACCUCAAGUGGUCAGGAUGAUUAUUGGGCCUAAAGCAUCCGUAGCCGGCUCUGUAAGUUUUCGGUUAGAUCUGUACGCUCAACGUACAGGCUGCCGGGAAUACUGCAGAGCUAGGGAGUGGGAGAGGUAGACGGUACUCGGGAGGAAGUGGUAAAAUGCUUUGAUCUCUCGAUGACCACCUGUGGCGAAGGCGGUCUACCAGAACACGUCCGACGGUGAGGGAUGAAAGCUGGGGGAGCAAACCGGAUUAGAUACCCGGGUAGUCCCAGCUGUAAACUAUGCAAACUAAGUGAUGCAUUGGCUUGUGGCCAAUGCAGUAUUUCAGGGAAGCCGUUAAGUUUGCCGCCUGGGAAGUACGUACGCAAGUAUG
Molecule: ribosomal RNA, 380 nt
Filed under: uncultured crenarchaeote
Lineage: Archaea; Thermoproteati; Thermoproteota
Description: bacterial SSU rRNA
Rfam family: Archaeal small subunit ribosomal RNA
Source: RNAcentral